Molecule: ribosomal RNA, 443 nt
Filed under: uncultured bacterium
Lineage: Bacteria
Description: bacterial SSU rRNA
Rfam family: Bacterial small subunit ribosomal RNA
Source: RNAcentral
AGAGUUUGAUCCUGGCUCAGAACGAACGCUGGCGGCAGGCUUAACACAUGCAAGUCGAACGCAUCGCAAGAUGAGUGGCAGACGGGUGAGUAACACGUGGGAACAUACCCUUUGGUGCGGAACAACAGCUGGAAACGGCUGCUAAUACCGUAUGGUCCCUUCGGGGUAAAGAUUUAUCGCCAAAAGAUUAGCCCGCGCUAGAUUAGCUAGUUGGUGAGGUAAGAGCUCACCAAGGCGACGAUCUAUAGCUGGUCUGAGAGGACGAUCAGCCACACUGGGACUGAGACACGGCCCAGACUCCUACGGGAGGCAGCAGUUAGGAAUAUUGGACAAUGGGCGCAAGCCUGAUCCAGCCAUGCCGCGUGAGUGAGGAAGGCCUUCGGGUUGUAAAGCUCUUUAGCCGACGAAUAUAAUGACUUAGUCGGAGAAUAAAACCUGGCCGC